UAGAUACUCACUCCGUCCAACAAAGUAUGUCUCAACUUUGACUUAGAUUUGAAUGUAUCUAUACACUAACUCAUGUCUAGAUACAUCUAAAUUUUGACAAAGUUAAGACAUCCUUUGUUGGACGGAGAGAGUACAAG
Molecule: non-coding RNA, 137 nt
Organism: Brachypodium distachyon (stiff brome)
Lineage: Eukaryota; Viridiplantae; Streptophyta; Magnoliopsida; Poales; Poaceae
Source: Rfam